Molecule: long non-coding RNA, 1180 nt
Organism: Anas platyrhynchos (mallard)
Lineage: Eukaryota; Metazoa; Chordata; Aves; Anseriformes; Anatidae
Source: RefSeq, a predicted model, not a curated record
UCUGGGAUUAAUCUCAGUUUAUACACUUGCUCCUGGUCAGCCAGGUGCUUUGGAUUCUAGAUAUAUCAGGCUGGUCUGUCAGACAGCUUCAGGCUCCCUGGGAUCUUCAUCUUUUAAAUCUUUGCAGAAAUAUUUCUGCACUUGUACCACAACAGAAGAUUCCCAGCUGCAGCGGUGGCUCCAACAACACUGCACUGGCAGCUCCCAGGCAGAGAGCUCAGAAGUGACUGUCCUUCCCCGUGGUACAUCCACCAGCUGAGGAGCCCUGGAGUAGUUGGCAGGAACUUCUUCUGAUCAUUGCCUUUGUGACUUUUAGAAAAUGCAGCCUCUGAAUCCCAAAGGAUGAAUUCUGUUUACUCUGAAAAAUGGAUGGAAAUGCUGCUCUUAUUCAAGAUUGCUAUUUAAAAAAAAAAUAAUAAUAAUUUUCAGUAAUACUUUGAGAGAAAACCUAUAAAACUCAGGGAUUUAAAACAAACCAAAGGUGAUGUUUUAAUGCUCUGUGUGUCUGGAUGCAGUUCAGUCUUCCUUAUGAUCUUGGGCACAUCUUUUAAUUUCCCAGUAUCUCUGGACUGAUAAAUAGAAAGUCCUUCAGGUUCAAGACUGUCUCUGUGCAUUUUGUACUGAACCUGCCUUCAGGCAAAAGGGAGAGAAUGAACAGAGAAUCGCAAUGUUCCUGUGACUGGUAAAGUGCCUCUUCUGCCAAACUGAUGUGCACGGUGCCCGCCUGCGGUGCCACGUUCUACCUGCAUGCACUGAGGUUUUCCUUUCCUGUUCAACUUGCUGCAACCCAUGCUGAAGGAAAAUCCACUUACAGAUUGUUUUCAGUGUUAAAAUGCUACUGCGUGAUAUGUAGGAAGAGACUGGGAAAAGUCACUCUUGUUUCAGGCUUGUAUGAUUUCUUUGGUGCAAAGGUGAGAGGAAGAAAAAAGGAGUUUAUCAGACAGGUCAAUAUACCAGGAAAUUGUUUAGGGCAGAAUAUACUGGCAAGAAACUAAUGGAUGCUACUGAUGAAGAAUAAUUCUCUCAUGAAAAAUGAUGUUUCAUAAUAGUGGAACAUCAUUAGUGUUUCAAGAACACUGUUGGACUCAAAAUUUUAAUUUGUAUCCCUACAAAGAUGUAGGUAUGUAACAUCAUAUCAUAUUGAACCUCGUAUUACUUUUAAGCUAGUUUCUGUACUUAA